AGAGUUUGAUCAUGGCUCAGAUUGAACGCUGGCGGCAUGCCUUACACAUGCAAGUCGAACGGUAACAGGUCUUCGGAUGCUGACGAGUGGCGAACGGGUGAGUAAUACAUCGGAACGUGCCUAGUAGUGGGGGAUAACUACUCGAAAGAGUGGCUAAUACCGCAUGAGAUCUACGGAUGAAAGCAGGGGAUCGCAAGACCUUGUGCUACUAGAGCGGCCGAUGGCAGAUUAGGUAGUUGGUGGGAUAAAAGCUUACCAAGCCGACGAUCUGUAGCUGGUCUGAGAGGACGAUCAGCCACACUGGGACUGAGACACGGCCCAGACUCCUACGGGAGGCAGC
This 340-nucleotide ribosomal RNA is filed under the name uncultured bacterium. Its description in RNAcentral is "bacterial SSU rRNA". It matches the Rfam family "Bacterial small subunit ribosomal RNA", at positions 8 to 352 of the family's 1533-position model. The record is from RNAcentral.